This 253-nucleotide ribosomal RNA is filed under the name uncultured bacterium. Its description in RNAcentral is "partial 16S ribosomal RNA". It matches the Rfam family "Bacterial small subunit ribosomal RNA", at positions 524 to 776 of the family's 1533-position model. The record is from RNAcentral.
UACGUAUGGAGCAACCGUUAUCCGGAUUUACUGGGUGUAAAGGGAGCGCAGGCGGUCUGGCAAGUCUGAUGUGAAAGGCCGGGGCUCAACCCCGGGACUGCAUUGGAAACUGUCAGACUGGAGUGUCGGAGAGGUAAGCGGAAUUCCUAGUGUAGCGGUGAAAUGCGUAGAUAUUAGGAGGAACACCAGUGGCGAAGGCGGCUUACUGGACGAUGACUGACGCUGAGGCUCGAAAGCGUGGGGAGCAAACAGG